AACGCGAAGAACCUUACCGGGGCUUGACAUCCUGCGCUAUCCUAGGAGACUAGGUUUUCCAGCAAUGGAACGCAGAGACAGGUGCUGCAUGGCUGUCGUCAGCUCGUGCCGUGAGGUGUUGGGUUAAGUCCCGCAACGAGCGCAACCCUUGCCGUGUGUUGGUCCAAAAGAUCUCUCACGCGGGACCGCCGGUGACAAGCCGGAGGAAGGUGGGGAUGACGUCAAGUCAGCAUGGCCCUUACGUCCCGGGCUACACACGUGCUACAAUGGAACGGACAGCGAGUCGCUAACCCGCGAGGGCAAGCUAAUCUCACAAACCGUUUCUCAGUUCGGAUUGAAGGCUGCAACUCGCCUUCAUGAAGUCGGAAUCGCUAGUAACCGCAGAUCAGCUACGCUGCGGUGAAUACGUUCCCGGGCCUUGUACACACCGGAGUGC
RNAcentral lists this ribosomal RNA (436 nucleotides) under uncultured bacterium. Its description in RNAcentral is "bacterial SSU rRNA". It matches the Rfam family "Bacterial small subunit ribosomal RNA", at positions 958 to 1398 of the family's 1533-position model. The record is from RNAcentral.